AACGCACAUUGCGCCUCUCGGUAUUCCGGGAGGCACGCCUGUUCGAGCGCCAUUACACACUCCAAGCAGUGCUUGAUGUUGGUCCGGUGUGUCUUUUCGGGUUGUCUUCUCUUUCUCUUUCUGGAGAGGGAGGGGGAGAUGGAGAGACGCAGGACUGGAACGUGUUGGCGCCGCCGCCAGACCACGAGCGUAGCAAGACGAGAGUCAAGAAAUCGCAUCGGAUUGGAUCUGACGGUGGUUGGCCUUUUUGUGUAUCUUGUUUGUAGAAGAUGCAAAACGACAGUUUGGCCUCGGAUCAGGCGGGGAUACCCGCUGAACUUAA
Molecule: unclassified non-coding RNA, 322 nt
Filed under: uncultured fungus
Lineage: Eukaryota; Fungi
Description: partial contains 5.8S ribosomal RNA, internal transcribed spacer 2, and large subunit ribosomal RNA
Source: RNAcentral